AACCAGCACCUCAAGUGGUCAGGAGGAUUAUUGGGCCUAAAGCAUCCGUAGCCGGCUCUGUAAGUUUUCGGUUAAAUCCAUGUGCUCAACGCAUGGGCCGUCGAAAAUACUGCAUAGCUAGGGAGUGGGAGAGGUAGACGGUACUCGGUAGGAAGGGGUAAAAUCCUUUGAUCUAUCGAUGACCACCUGUGGCGAAGGCGGUCUACCAGAACACGUUCGACGGUGAGGGAUGAAAGCUGGGGGAGCAAACCGG
Molecule: ribosomal RNA, 253 nt
Filed under: uncultured archaeon
Lineage: Archaea
Description: partial 16S ribosomal RNA
Rfam family: Archaeal small subunit ribosomal RNA
Source: RNAcentral